UAUACCGUGAAACUGCGAAUGGCUCAUUAAAUCAGUUAUCGUUUAUUUGAUAGUACCUUACUACUUGGAUAACCGUGGUAAUUCUAGAGCUAAUACAUGCUAAAAACCCCAACUUCGGGAGGGGUGUAUUUAUUAGAUAAAAAACCAAUGCCCUUCGGGGCUCCUUGGUGAUUCAUGAUAACUUCUCAGAUCGCAUGGCUUUACGCCGGCGACGGUUCAUUCAAAUUUCUGCCCUAUCAACUUUCGAUGGUAAGGUAGUGGCUUACCAUGGUUUCAACGGGUAACGGGGAAUUAGGGUUCGAUUCCGGAGAGGGAGCCUGAGAAACGGCUACCACAUCCAAGGAAGGCAGCAGGCGCGCAAAUUACCCAAUUCCGAUACGGAGAGGUAGUGACAAUAAAUACUGAUACAGGGCUCUUUUGGGUCUUGUAAUUGGAAUGAGUACAAUUUAAACCUCUUAACGAGGAACAAUUGGAGGGCAAGUCUGGUGCCAGCAGCCGCGGUAAUUCCAGCUCCAAUAGCGUAUAUUAAAGUUGUUGCAGUUAAAAAGCUCGUAGUUGAACCUUUGGCCUGGCUGGCAGGUCCGCCUCACCGCGUGCACUUGUCCGGCCGGGCCUUUUCUUCUGGAGAACCGCAUGCCCUUCACUGGGUGUGUUGGGGACCAGGACUUUUACUUUGAAAAAAUUAGAGUGUUCAAAGCAGGCCUUUGCUCGAAUACGUUAGCAUGGAAUAAUAGAAUAGGACGUGCGGUCCUAUUUUGUUGGUUUCUAGGACCGCCGUAAUGAUUAAUAGGGACAGUCGGGGGCAUCAGUAUUCAAUUGUCAGAGGUGAAAUUCUUGGAUUUAUUGAAGACUAACUACUGCGAAAGCAUUUGCCAAGGAUGUUUUCAUUAAUCAGUGAACGAAAGUUAGGGGAUCGAAGACGAUCAGAUACCGUCGUAGUCUUAACCAUAAACUAUGCCGACUAG
This 965-nucleotide ribosomal RNA is filed under the name Pseudopithomyces pandanicola. RNAcentral describes it as "SSU rRNA". It matches the Rfam family "Eukaryotic small subunit ribosomal RNA", at positions 75 to 1049 of the family's 1831-position model. The record is from RNAcentral. Lineage: Eukaryota; Fungi; Ascomycota; Dothideomycetes; Pleosporales; Didymosphaeriaceae.